This 253-nucleotide ribosomal RNA is filed under the name uncultured bacterium. Its description in RNAcentral is "partial 16S ribosomal RNA". It matches the Rfam family "Bacterial small subunit ribosomal RNA", at positions 524 to 776 of the family's 1533-position model. The record is from RNAcentral.
UACGUAGGCAGCAAGCGUUGUCCGGAUUUACUGGGCGUAAAGGAUGCGUAGGCGGACAUUUAAGUCAGAUGUGAAAUACCCGAACUUAACUUGGGUGCUGCAUUUGAAACUGGGUGUCUAGAGUGCAGGAGAGGUAAGUGGAAUUCCUAGUGUAGCGGUGAAAUGCGUAGAGAUUAGGAAGAACACCAGUGGCGAAGGCGACUUACUGGACUGUAACUGACGCUGAGGCAUGAAAGCGUGGGGAGCAAACAGG